UGAGGCAGGAGAAUUGCUUGAACCCAGGAGGUGGAGGUUGCAGUGAGCCGAGAUCGAGCCACUGCACUCCAGCCUAGGUGACAUAGCGAGACUC
Macaca nemestrina (pig-tailed macaque) is the source of this 94-nucleotide microRNA precursor. The record is from Ensembl. NCBI's taxonomy places the organism in Eukaryota, Metazoa, Chordata, Mammalia, Primates, Cercopithecidae.